Pleuronectes platessa (European plaice) is the source of this 754-nucleotide long non-coding RNA. RefSeq lists it as uncharacterized. NCBI's taxonomy places the organism in Eukaryota, Metazoa, Chordata, Actinopteri, Pleuronectiformes, Pleuronectidae. The transcript is spliced from 2 exons. The record is from RefSeq and is a predicted model, not a curated record.
CUACAAUAAGGGUGGCGAGUCCACGCAGACAUUUCAGCUGCUUAACCCAACUGAUGACAUCUAUCGUGGUGUGGAGAUGCAUGUCCUCAGUAACUGGGGACAAGCUGAAUAUACAUGUCUUUACCGCCUUCGUGUGCAUGGGAAGAUCGCCUCCACAUGAAUUCUAAUGGACUGUCUUUCUCAGUACCUCUCUCUGUCUUUUUUUUCUAUUCAAAUCCUUUGUAAAAAAAAUAAUGUUUUAACGCCCUAAGUUUUUCUUUUAAUUCAUAAAUUUGGUUCAACUUUCUACUUCCACUAAUUUGAACUUUCAGUUAUACAAUUAUUUUCUAACUAUUCUACUUUUUGAAUAGAGAACGAGAUGGUGAAUAUCCCACGUACAUUUGAGGGUUAGUGCUAGGGUAUGCUUAGGCUAAGGGUACAUCUGACUGGCUACUGGCUUGUAUGGCAGCACUAUGAAAGCCAUGUGGCCUGCUCAGUGGACCAGUCAUCAUUACCUCUAUGCCCUUUUAAACUUAAAACUGAAUGUUCCCUGUGAUUUCUGAUGCACUAAUAAUGCCUACCAUCAGUUUAUGCUUCGGAUGUAAGCGGAUGUUAGGGACAUGUCUUCAGUUGUGUACUUGUACCUAAUUCAGUUCAUAUUCAGCUGUAUAAAAUGCAUUUCAUAGAUGCAUGUGAACCAUAAUACCAGAUGUAUCAUAAGCAUACAAUUCUACUAUUUUCAAGAAUUAAUUAAAUAAAGCAUUAUGGUUUCUUA